This 630-nucleotide ribosomal RNA is filed under the name Aspergillus niger. Its description in RNAcentral is "LSU rRNA". It matches the Rfam family "Eukaryotic large subunit ribosomal RNA", at positions 23 to 666 of the family's 3401-position model. Lineage: Eukaryota; Fungi; Ascomycota; Eurotiomycetes; Eurotiales; Aspergillaceae. The record is from RNAcentral.
ACCCGCUGGAAUUAAGCAUAUCAAUAAGCGGAGGAAAAACCCCCGGGGGGGAUUGGCCUCAGUAACGGCGAGUGAAGCGGCAAGAGCUCAAAUUUGAAAGCUGGCUCCUUCGGAGUCCGCAUUGUAAUUUGCAGAGGAUGCUUUGGGUGCGGCCCCCGUCUAAGUGCCCUGGAACGGGCCGUCAGAGAGGGUGAGAAUCCCGUCUUGGGCGGGGUGUCCGUGCCCGUGUAAAGCUCCUUCGACGAGUCGAGUUGUUUGGGAAUGCAGCUCUAAAUGGGUGGUAAAUUUCAUCUAAAGCUAAAUACUGGCCGGAGACCGAUAGCGCACAAGUAGAGUGAUCGAAAGAUGAAAAGCACUUUGAAAAGAGAGUUAAACAGCACGUGAAAUUGUUGAAAGGGAAGCGCUUGCGACCAGACUCGCCCGCGGGGUUCAGCCGGCAUUCGUGCCGGUGUACUUCCCCGUGGGCGGGCCAGCGUCGGUUUGGGCGGCCGGUCAAAGGCCCCUGGAAUGUAGUGCCCUCCGGGGCACCUUAUAGCCAGGGGUGCAAUGCGGCCAGCCUGGACCGAGGAACGCGCUUCGGCACGGACGCUGGCAUAAUGGUCGUAAACGACCCGUCUUGAAACAACGGAC